RNAcentral lists this ribosomal RNA (250 nucleotides) under Staphylococcus aureus subsp. aureus 300-169. RNAcentral's name for it is "partial 23S ribosomal RNA". It matches the Rfam family "Bacterial large subunit ribosomal RNA", at positions 1009 to 1263 of the family's 2925-position model. Lineage: Bacteria; Bacillati; Bacillota; Bacilli; Caryophanales; Staphylococcaceae. The record is from RNAcentral.
GUUCGAAAGGGAAACAGCCCAGACCACCAGCUAAGGUCCCAAAAUAUAUGUUAAGUGGAAAAGGAUGUGGCGUUGCCCAGACAACUAGGAUGUUGGCUUAGAAGCAGCCAUCAUUUAAAGAGUGCGUAAUAGCUCACUAGUCGAGUGACACUGCGCCGAAAAUGUACCGGGGCUAAACAUAUUACCGAAGCUGUGGAUUGUCCUUUGGACAAUGGUAGGAGAGCGUUCUAAGGGCGUUGAAGCAUGAUCG